AAAGACUUAGUUUAAAAAAACAUUAACUUGUCAAGUUAAAAAAAUUAUUAGAAUUAAUAGACUUUA
RNAcentral lists this transfer RNA (66 nucleotides) under Bothrogonia shuana. Its description in RNAcentral is "tRNA-Asp". It matches the Rfam family "tRNA". Rfam says of the family: Transfer RNA (tRNA) molecules are approximately 80 nucleotides in length. Their secondary structure includes four short double-helical elements and three loops (D, anti-codon, and T loops). Further hydrogen bonds mediate the characteristic L-shaped molecular structure. tRNAs have two regions of fundamental functional importance: the anti-codon, which is responsible for specific mRNA codon recognition, and the 3' end, to which the tRNAs corresponding amino acid is attached (by aminoacyl-tRNA synthetases). tRNAs cope with the degeneracy of the genetic code in two manners: having more than one tRNA (with a specific anti-codon) for a particular amino acid; and 'wobble' base-pairing, i.e. permitting non-standard base-pairing at the 3rd anti-codon position. The record is from RNAcentral. RNAcentral also lists the same sequence under 1 other name. Lineage: Eukaryota; Metazoa; Arthropoda; Insecta; Hemiptera; Cicadellidae.